UUGCAUUCCUAUCUCUUGGGAAGUUGUACUUAUCAGCACCACCAAGUACCAUGCGGUCAGCAAGAGAGCUGGGCUGAGUGUGUCAUUGGAGAAUUAAAAAGGAAUUAAAAGUCAAGACGGGGUUCUGGGGAGAAUGCAAAGAAGAGUUCCAUCACCACAGCAGAUGCCCCUGGAGGAGGGCUGAGCCUCCGUCAAUGCUACACCAAUAAAGGCACCUUUAGGAAAAUGGCUGGAAGCAAUUCAUCCGCGUUAUCUUCCCAGCACCCAGCGUGAUGCAAAGCACAUAGUAAAUGUUGAAUAAAUGCUUGCUGUGUGAAUC
Molecule: long non-coding RNA, 319 nt
Filed under: Ictidomys tridecemlineatus (thirteen-lined ground squirrel)
Lineage: Eukaryota; Metazoa; Chordata; Mammalia; Rodentia; Sciuridae
Description: lncRNA (ENSSTOG00000034056.1)
Source: RNAcentral